GAGACCUUCGGGUCUAGUGGCGCACGGGUGCGUAACGCGUGGGAAUCUGCCCUUGGGUUCGGAAUAACUUCGGGAAACUGAAGCUAAUACCGGAUGAUGACGAAAGUCCAAAGAUUUAUCGCCCAGGGAUGAGCCCGCGUAGGAUUAGCUAGUUGGUGGGGUAAAGGCUCACCAAGGCAACGAUCCUUAGCUGGUCUGAGAGGAUGAUCAGCCACACUGGGACUGAGACACGGCCCAGACUCC
Molecule: ribosomal RNA, 243 nt
Filed under: uncultured bacterium
Lineage: Bacteria
Description: partial 16S ribosomal RNA
Rfam family: Bacterial small subunit ribosomal RNA
Source: RNAcentral